GUGAACGCCUGGCCAGAGCCGGUGGUAGUACGGGAGUGGCAAGGUUGACUCGGAAGUACUGGGCUGAAAGAGCGGUGAGGCGGGCAAAUAAGGCAGAAGUGAAAUCCAAUAGCUCAACUAUUGAACGGCUUGUGAAACUGUAUACCUAGAAUGUGGGAGAGGCAGAUGGAAUUUCUGGUGUAGGGGUAAAAUCCGUAGAGAUCAGAAGGAAUACCGAUUGCGAAGGCGAUCUACUGGAACAUUAUUGACGCUGAGAUGCGAAAGCGUGGGGAGCAAACAGGAUUAGAUACCCCAGUAGUC
RNAcentral lists this ribosomal RNA (300 nucleotides) under uncultured Corallomonas sp. Its description in RNAcentral is "bacterial SSU rRNA". It matches the Rfam family "Bacterial small subunit ribosomal RNA", at positions 496 to 795 of the family's 1533-position model. Lineage: Bacteria; Pseudomonadati; Pseudomonadota; Gammaproteobacteria; Oceanospirillales; Oceanospirillaceae. The record is from RNAcentral.